RNAcentral lists this ribosomal RNA (1230 nucleotides) under Triticum aestivum (bread wheat). Its description in RNAcentral is "partial small subunit ribosomal RNA". The record is from RNAcentral. Lineage: Eukaryota; Viridiplantae; Streptophyta; Magnoliopsida; Poales; Poaceae.
AUGGCAGCGACGCGUGCGUGCUUGGUCGCCCUCGUCGUGGCUCUCGCGUUUGUCUUCUUGGAGGGACUGGCAGCAGCAGCGCCGGCGACUCCGGAGAGUAGAGCGCAGCGGCGGCGGGAGGUGCGAAGCCUCCUCAGGCGGCUCAAUAAGCCUCCUGUCGCAAGCAUUCAGAGCCUAGAUGGAGAUAUCAUAGACUGUGUGCACAUCUCCAAACAACCUGCAUUCGACCAUCCUCUCCUCAAGAACCAUACUAUACAGAUGCAGCCUUCUUACCAUCCAGGAGGCAUGUAUCAUGAAUCUAACAUCCCACCUCAUCACAUCACCCAAACAUGGCAUCAAAAUGGCAAGUGCCCUGAGAACACAAUACCAAUCCGAAGGACCAAGGAGGAGGAUGUCUUGAGGGCCAAUUCCAUCAAGAGGUAUGGCAAAAAGAGGCCCCAGAGCAUCGCAAACCUCGAUUCAAUCAAUAAACCAGUAAUAUCCAAUAUAUCGACGGGGCACCAGCAUGCCAUUGCAUCUGCACAGGUUGAUAACUGCCAUGGGACCAAAGCCAGCUUCAAUUUGUGGAAACCAACAAUUGCAAGGGCCGAUGACUUUAGCUUGACACAACUCUGGAUCAUUGGGGGUUCCUACAGUGGCAACGACCUCAAUACCAUUGAAGCUGGAUGGCAGGUAUACCCAGGUCUAUAUAUGGAUAGAAAUACUAGACUCUUCAUCUACUGGACUCGUGAUGCGUAUCAAACAACAGGAUGUUACAACCUACAUUGCUCAGGGUUCAUCCAGACAAACAAUCAGAUCACCCUUGGUGGCAGUAUCUCCCCAACCUCCACCUAUGGAGGCGCACAAUAUGACAUCGACAUUUUAGUUUGGAAGGACAAGGUGGGAGGGAAUUGGUGGCUGCAAGUGGGGGGCUAUUAUGUGGGGUAUUGGCCAUCGUUCAUCUUCACCUACUUGGCAAAUAGUGCCUCCUCUGUCCAGUGGGGUGGUGAGGUAUUUUCACCUGAUGUCGGCCAAACUUCCACACAUAUGGGUAGUGGACACUUCCCCAAUGAAGGGUUCCGUCAGGCCAGUUACAUUAGGAACAUCCAAGUGGUAGAUUCCUCCAACUCUCUCAUACCGCCAAGUGAUGUGGGCUUAAUAGCUCAGCAGAACAACAGUUAUGAUGUGCAAGGUGGUGUCUAUGGAAGCGACUGGGGCACUUACAUCUACUAUGGUGGCCCUGGGAACUAA